AUGAAGGCCGGUCGGUUGCGCUUGUGCCGAACAUGCCAAGCCUGGCGCUGCUCGAGCUUUGCUCUCCCCAGAUGCUGCUCCUGCCUGUUCCGUCGCCUUCCAGGCCGCCGGGGUUUGAGGCCUCCCCAACGCCACCCCUGUUGUCCAGUGGGCUGCUGCGCCGCACUCCUUCGCCUGUGCGGCAUCGUAGGGUUGCUGUCGGUGCGGUCGGCCUCCAGUGCCUUGCACCCCUGUUUGAAGAUCGCCAGGAAGCCAUCCUGCCCACACCCACCCCUGCUCUAA
This 282-nucleotide ribosomal RNA is filed under the name Triticum aestivum (bread wheat). RNAcentral describes it as "partial small subunit ribosomal RNA". Lineage: Eukaryota; Viridiplantae; Streptophyta; Magnoliopsida; Poales; Poaceae. The record is from RNAcentral.